Molecule: ribosomal RNA, 365 nt
Filed under: uncultured bacterium
Lineage: Bacteria
Description: bacterial SSU rRNA
Rfam family: Bacterial small subunit ribosomal RNA
Source: RNAcentral
GAAUUCGAUUCAGGCCUAACACAUGCAAGUCGAGCGGGGUUUUCGGACCUAGCGGCGGACGGGUGAGUAAUGCGUAGGAAGCUACCCGAUAGAGGGGGAUACCAGUUGGAAACGACUGUUAAUACCGCAUAAUGUCUACGGACCAAAGUGUGGGACCUUCGGGCCACAUGCUAUCGGAUGCGCCUACGUGGGAUUAGCUAGUUGGUGAGGUAAUGGCACACCAAGGCGACGAUCUCUAGCUGGUUUGAGAGGAUGAUCAGCCACACUGGAAUUGAGGCACGGUCCAGACUCCUACGGGAGGCAGCAGUGGGGAAUAUUGGACAAUGGGCGCAAGCCUGAUCCUUUCAGGGCGCGUGUGUGAAGAA